RNAcentral lists this ribosomal RNA (1372 nucleotides) under uncultured bacterium. Its description in RNAcentral is "bacterial SSU rRNA". It matches the Rfam family "Bacterial small subunit ribosomal RNA", at positions 28 to 1381 of the family's 1533-position model. The record is from RNAcentral.
GAUGAACGCUGGCGGCGUGCCUAAUACAUGCAAGUCGAGCGAACGGACGAGAAGCUUGCUUCUCUGAUGUUAGCGGCGGACGGGUGAGUAACACGUGGAUAACCUACCUAUAAGACUGGGAUAACUUCGGGAAACCGGAGCUAAUACCGGAUAAUAUUUUGAACCGCAUGGUUCAAAAGUGAAAGACGGUCUUGCUGUCACUUAUAGAUGGAUCCGCGCUGCAUUAGCUAGUUGGUAAGGUAACGGCUUACCAAGGCAACGAUGCAUAGCCGACCUGAGGGGGUGAUCGGCCACACUGGAACUGAGACACGGUCCAGACUCCUACGGGAGGCAGCAGUAGGGAAUCUUCCGCAAUGGGCGAAAGCCUGACGGAGCAACGCCGCGCGAGUGAUGAAGGUCUUCGGAUCGUAAAACUCUGUUAUUAGGGAAGAACAUAUGUGUAAGUAACUGUGCACAUCUUGACGGUACCUAAUCAGAAAGCCACGGCUAACUACGUGCCAGCAGCCGCGGUAAUACGUAGGUGGCAAGCGUUAUCCGGAAUUAUUGGGCGUAAAGCGCGCGUAGGCGGUUUUUUAAGUCUGAUGCGAAAGCCCACGGCUCAACCGUGGAGGGUCAUUGGAAACUGGAAAACUUGAGUGCAGAAGAGGAAAGUGGAAUUCCAUGUGUAGCGGUGAAAUGCGCAGAGAUAUGGAGGAACACCAGUGGCGAAGGCGACUUUCUGGUCUGUAACUGACGCUGAUGUGCGAAAGCGUGGGGAUCAAACAGGAUUAGAUACCCUGGUAGUCCACGCCGUAAACGAUGAGUGCUAAGUGUUAGGGGGUUUCCGCCCCUUAGUGCUGCAGCUAACGCAUUAAGCACUCCGCCUGGGGAGUACGACCGCAAGGUUGAAACUCAAAGGAAUUGACGGGGACCCGCACAAGCGGUGGAGCAUGUGGUUUAAUUCGAAGCAACGCGAAGAACCUUACCAAAUCUUGACAUCCUUUGACAACUCUAGAGAUAGAGCUUUCCCCUUCGGGGGACAAAGUGACAGGUGGUGCAUGGUUGUCGUCAGCUCGUGUCGUGAGAUGUCGGGUUAAGUCCCGCAACGAGCGCAACCCUUAAGCUUAGUUGCCAUCAUUAAGUUGGGCACUCUAAGUUGACUGCCGGUGACAAACCGGAGGAAGGUGGGGAUGACGUCAAAUCAUCAUGCCCCUUAUGAUUUGGGCUACACACGUGCUACAAUGGACAAUACAAAGGGCAGCGAAACCGCGAGGUCAAGCAAAUCCCAUAAAGUUGUUCUCAGUUCGGAUUGUAGUCUGCAACUCGACUACAUGAAGCUGGAAUCGCUAGUAAUCGUAGAUCAGCAUGCUACGGUGAAUACGUUCCCGGGUCU